GAUGAACGCUGGCGGCGUGCCUAAUACAUGCAAGUCGAGCGAACAGACGAGGAGCUUGCUCCUCUGACGUUAGCGGCGGACGGGUGAGUAACACGUGGAUAACCUACCUAUAAGACUGGGAUAACUUCGGGAAACCGGAGCUAAUACCGGAUAAUAUAUUGAACCGCAUGGUUCAAUAGUGAAAGACGGUUUUGCUGUCACUUAUAGAUGGAUCCGCGCCGCAUUAGCUAGUUGGUAAGGUAACGGCUUACCAAGGCAACGAUGCGUAGCCGACCUGAGAGGGGGAUCGGCCACACUGGCACUGAGACACGGUCCAGACACCUACGGGAAGCAGCUGUAGGGAAUCUUCCGCAAUGUGCGAAAGCCUGACAGAGCAACGCCGCGUGAGUGAUGAAGGUCUUCGGAUCUUAAAACUCUGUUAUUAGGGACGAACAAAUGUGUAAGUAACUAUGCACGUCUUGACGGUACCUAAUCAGAAAGCCACGGCUAGCUACGUG
Molecule: ribosomal RNA, 497 nt
Filed under: uncultured bacterium
Lineage: Bacteria
Description: partial 16S ribosomal RNA
Rfam family: Bacterial small subunit ribosomal RNA
Source: RNAcentral